UUCCACUCUCUCCCUUCGUUUUUCCAUCUCCACUUCCCAAUUACUGUAUUUGAAAUGCUUCUUCCGUCGCAGUUACCAAAAGUCGAAAAGCAUAUUUCCCUCCGCAAAUUAGGCGAGGAGGAUCUCUUAUUCUAUAAAGUCAAAAUGAUCUUGGAUGGUUGGUCAAGAAUAGUUGCCAAACUGUUGAGUUAGACUUCAAACAAAACAACUCAUGUUUGUCUAGCAGAAGAAAAUGCAUUGAGCAUAAGAGUUAAUCUCAUUCUUCUGGUCUGUGUCACUUGUCGCCUACGGCAUUGUCAGUCAUAGACCUGAUUUGGUUAUGAUUGUGGAGGACAGGCAUAUAUUAUGCAUCAGAGCACGUGCCUCUGCAGGCUACAACGAGGAGCGGAUGUAAUUGAGAAUGAAAGAAGAUCCUUUGUAGGGAAACACUGGUUGGGUGACCACGCCGUUCCCUUAUGAGCCGGAUUGCAGCAUAAAAACUACCCGGAGCCUCUGGAUGAAGGCAGAUAUUGGCGUGCCGUGUCAGGCCGGAUGACUAAUCCCGUUACAGUGUGUGGUAUCAAAGCAAACUGGGGAUCUGAGGGAAAUGUAAGGUGUUGUCUGCAACCAAGAACCAUUAGUUCAGAUGCCUAAUUGUGAUAUGUUGUGACUUCCUCAACAAAUUGGGAUUUAGUUGUAUUCUAACCUCGACGAUUUUUAUUUCAACGUGUCUUAGUAAUAGUAUGUAAAAUGUAUGCCAAAGAGGUAAAUUAUCAUAUUAUACAUCCAUGGUUUGUUCUCUCA
Molecule: non-coding RNA, 783 nt
Organism: Salvia hispanica
Lineage: Eukaryota; Viridiplantae; Streptophyta; Magnoliopsida; Lamiales; Lamiaceae
Source: RefSeq, a predicted model, not a curated record